This 443-nucleotide unclassified non-coding RNA is filed under the name Hevea brasiliensis (rubber tree). Lineage: Eukaryota; Viridiplantae; Streptophyta; Magnoliopsida; Malpighiales; Euphorbiaceae. The record is from RNAcentral.
GGACUAUAAAAUGCACUUAAAAAAACCAAAAACAACACACACAAAGGAGAGAGAGAGAGCUCCUCUUCUGUUUAUGCAUCUGCAUCUUCUCUUUCCUUGCUUUCCCGAGCUUCCCUCUCUCUAUCUCUCCCCUGGAAUCACCCCUUUUUAGUUUCUUUCUGCAUCUUCCAUUGUUCGUUGUUCUUGUUCUUCUUCCCACGAUGGGUAAAGAAAGGGAAAAAGAAAGAGUAGACAAGAAGAUGUUUGUUGGAGUUGUAAUGAACUGUGCUGCGGAGCUUAAGCUUUUUUUAACAGCUCUUUUAAUUCUCUGCUGUAUAGCUACUCUUCUACAGUUUAUUCCUUCUCGUUUCUCUAUCUCUACCUCUGAUCUCCGCUUCUGUAUCUCCAGAAUCACCACCACAACUACCACUACCACCACCACCACCGCCACCACCACCAAAGAU